Nannospalax galili (Upper Galilee mountains blind mole rat) is the source of this 162-nucleotide small nuclear RNA. Its record names the gene U1. It matches the Rfam family "U1 spliceosomal RNA". Rfam says of the family: U1 is a small nuclear RNA (snRNA) component of the spliceosome (involved in pre-mRNA splicing). Its 5' end forms complementary base pairs with the 5' splice junction, thus defining the 5' donor site of an intron. The record is from Ensembl. NCBI's taxonomy places the organism in Eukaryota, Metazoa, Chordata, Mammalia, Rodentia, Spalacidae.
AUACUUACCUGGCAGAGAGAUACCAUGAUCACAAAGAUGGUUUUCCCAGGGUGAGGCUCAUCCAUUAUACCCCAGGUGUGCCGACCCCUGAGAUUGCCCCAAAUUUGGAAACUCAACUGCAUAAUUUGUGGUAGUGGGGCACUGUGUUCAUGCUCUCCCCUG